Molecule: ribosomal RNA, 883 nt
Filed under: uncultured Reichenowia sp.
Lineage: Bacteria; Pseudomonadati; Pseudomonadota; Alphaproteobacteria; Hyphomicrobiales
Description: bacterial SSU rRNA
Rfam family: Bacterial small subunit ribosomal RNA
Source: RNAcentral
UAAGAGUUUGAAUCCUGGCUCAGAUUGAACGCUGGCGGCAGGCCUAACACAUGCAAGUCGAGAGUUAGCUCAGAGAUCAGAAUGAACGCUGGCGGCAGGCUUAACACAUACAAGUCUAGCGCCCCGCAAGGGGAGCGGCAGACGGGUGAGUAACGCGUGGGAACGUACCCUUUUCUACGGAAUAACGCAUGGAAACGUGUGCUAAUACCGUAUACGCCCUUCGGGGGAAAGAUUUAUUGGAGAAGGAGCGGCCCGCGUUGGAUUAGCUAGUUGGUGGGGUAAAGGCCUACCAAGGCGACGAUCCAUAGCUGGUCUGAGAGGAUGGUCAGCCACAUUGGGACUGAGAUACGGCCCAAACUCCUACGGGAGGCAGCAGUGGGGAAUAUUGGACAAUGGGCGCAAGCCUGAUCCAGCCAUGCCGUGUGAGUGAUGAAGGCCUUAGGGUUGUAAAGCUCUUUCGCCGGUGAAGAUUGUGACGGUAACCGGAUAACAACCCCCGGCUAAGUUCGUGCCAGCAGCCGCGGUAAUACUAAGGGGGCUAGCGUUGUUCGGAAUUACUGGGCGUAUAGCGCGCGUAGGCGGAUAUUUUAAGUCAGGGGUGAUAUCCCGAGGCUCAGCCCCGGAGCUGCCUUUGAUACUGGGUAUCUAGAGUCCAGAAGAGGUGAGUGGAAUUCCGAGUGUAUAGGUGAAAUUCGUAGAUGUUCGGAGGAACACCAGUGGCGAAGGCGGCUCAGUGUUCUGGUACUGACGCUGAGUGCUGAAAGCAUGAGGGAGCAAACAGGAUUACAUACCCUGGUAGUCCACGCCGUAACGGUGAAUGUUAGCCGUCGGGCAGUUUACUGAUUCGGUGGCGCAAUUAACACAUUAAACAUUUCCGACCUGG